GACGAACGCUGGCGGCGUGCUUAACACAUGCAAGUCGAGCGGUAAGGCCCUUCGGGGUACACGAGCGGCGAACGGGUGAGUAACACGUGGGUGACCUGCCCUCAGCUCUGGGAUAAGCCUGGGAAACCGGGUCUAAUACCGGAUAUGACUCCAUGACGCAUGUUGUGGGGUGGAAAGCCUUGUGCGGCUGAGGAUGGGCCCGCGGCCUAUCAGCUUGUUGGUGGGGUGAUGGCCUACCAAGGCGACGACGGGUAGCCGGCCUGAGAGGGCGACCGGCCACACUGGGACUGAGACACGGCCCAGACUCCUACGGGAGGCAGCAGUGGGGAAUCUUGCGCAAUGGGCGAAAGCCUGACGCAGCGACGCCGCGUGAGGGAUGACGGCCUGGUGUAAC
Molecule: ribosomal RNA, 394 nt
Filed under: uncultured bacterium
Lineage: Bacteria
Description: bacterial SSU rRNA
Rfam family: Bacterial small subunit ribosomal RNA
Source: RNAcentral